Molecule: small RNA, 29 nt
Filed under: Bombyx mori (domestic silkworm)
Lineage: Eukaryota; Metazoa; Arthropoda; Insecta; Lepidoptera; Bombycidae
Description: ovarian small RNA-18351
Source: RNAcentral
UAAAGGACCUUAGCGUUCUCUGGUGCUGG